AAGUCAUAACAAGGUUUCUGUAGGUGAACCUGCAGAAGGAUCAUUAGUGAACAACCGGGGUCCUGGCGGGGCAACUCGCCAGCUCCCCAACCCUCCACUUAUAUCCACACACCUGUGCACCGUCGAGUCUUCGGACCUCGACACAACUUAUUAUAACACCUGAGAAACUGUAUGUUAUUUAUAAAACCGGCUCGCCGGAAAUACAAAAUAACUUUCGACAACGGAUCUCUUGGUUCUCC
RNAcentral lists this unclassified non-coding RNA (239 nucleotides) under fungal sp. Its description in RNAcentral is "partial internal transcribed spacer region". The stretch from base 1 to 46 matches the Rfam family "Eukaryotic small subunit ribosomal RNA", at positions 1786 to 1831 of the family's 1831-position model. Lineage: Eukaryota; Fungi. The record is from RNAcentral.